Molecule: long non-coding RNA, 790 nt
Filed under: Homo sapiens (human)
Lineage: Eukaryota; Metazoa; Chordata; Mammalia; Primates; Hominidae
Description: non-protein coding lnc-CYP2C19-1:1
Source: RNAcentral
UUUAUUUUCUGGAUAGAAGUCCAAGGAGGAUAAUGUAGCCCCAGUCCUUGCUGUCACGAAACAGCAGGAGGCCAAGACGGUGUUGAAUCCUCUGUUUGAGAAAAGUCCUAAGAAUUUUGGCAUUGGAGAGGACAUUCAGCCCAAGAAAACCCCCACCCACUUUGGGAAUGACCCCACUAUAUCAGGUUGCAGUGGCAAACAGCUAUCCUCCAUAAGUGACUGAGAGUGCCUCUGGGAACAAACCAGUUCACCAGGCCUUGGAGCAGCAAACAUUUAAUUAACUGCUUAAGCUGGCUCACAAGUACAGAAAAGAGACAAAACAAGAGAAGAAACAGAGAUGGUUAGCCUGGGUUAAGAAGAAAGCUGCUGGCAAAGGGGAUGUUCCCACUAGGAGCCAACUUGUCUUUAAGCAGUGGUUAACACUGUCACCACCUUCACAGAGAAUAUACCUCAGCUGGUGAUGAUUGCACAUGACAUGGAUUCAAUCAAGCUGGUUGUUUUCCUGCCUGUCCUGUGUUAUAAGAUAAAGAUCCCUUACUGCAUUAUCAAGGGGAAGGAAAGACUGGGGCAGGUAGUCUAUAGAAAGACUUGCACCAAUGUCACCAUCACACAGGUUAACUCAGAAGAAAAAAGAUCUCUGGUUAAGCUGGUGGAAGCUAUCAGAACCAAUUACAAGGACAGAUAUGAGGAGAUCUAGCAUCAUUGGGAAGAUAACAUCCUUAGUCCAAAAUCUGUGACUCACAUUGCCAAUCUGGAAAAGGAAAAGUCUAAAGAACUUGCUGCUAAACUG